This 382-nucleotide ribosomal RNA is filed under the name uncultured eukaryote. RNAcentral's name for it is "partial 18S ribosomal RNA". It matches the Rfam family "Eukaryotic small subunit ribosomal RNA", at positions 592 to 976 of the family's 1831-position model. The record is from RNAcentral.
CAAUAGCGUAUAUUAAAGUUGUUGCAGUUAAAAAGCUCGUAGUUGGAUUUCUGGUUGAAGCGACCGGUCGGGCGUUGAUUCGUCUGCACUGGAAUCGGUUUUGGCCAUCCUCUAGGAAAGUGCGUCUGGUAUUAAGUUAUCGGGCGUAUGAUCCUGGUCUUUUACUGUGAAAAAAUUAGAGUGUUUAAAGCAGGCCUUCGCCUUGAAUACAUUAGCAUGGAAUAAUAAGAUAGGACUUUGGUCUAUUUUGUUGGUUUGCAGACCGAAGUAAUGAUUAAUAGGGAUAGUUGGGGGUAUUUAUAUUCCGAUGUCAGAGGUGAAAUUCUUAGAUUUUCGGAAGAUAAACUUAUGCGAAAGCAUUUACCAAGGAUGUUUUCAUUAA